This 1002-nucleotide ribosomal RNA is filed under the name Escherichia coli. RNAcentral's name for it is "partial 23S ribosomal RNA". It matches the Rfam family "Bacterial large subunit ribosomal RNA", at positions 1920 to 2916 of the family's 2925-position model. Lineage: Bacteria; Pseudomonadati; Pseudomonadota; Gammaproteobacteria; Enterobacterales; Enterobacteriaceae. The record is from RNAcentral.
CCGGUAAACGGCGGCCGUAACUAUAACGGUCCUAAGGUAGCGAAAUUCCUUGUCGGGUAAGUUCCGACCUGCACGAAUGGCGUAAUGAUGGCCAGGCUGUCUCCACCCGAGACUCAGUGAAAUUGAACUCGCUGUGAAGAUGCAGUGUACCCGCGGCAAGACGGAAAGACCCCGUGAACCUUUACUAUAGCUUGACACUGAACAUUGAGCCUUGAUGUGUAGGAUAGGUGGGAGGCUUUGAAGUGUGGACGCCAGUCUGCAUGGAGCCGACCUUGAAAUACCACCCUUUAAUGUUUGAUGUUCUAACGUUGACCCGUAAUCCGGGUUGCGGACAGUGUCUGGUGGGUAGUUUGACUGGGGCGGUCUCCUCCUAAAGAGUAACGGAGGAGCACGAAGGUUGGCUAAUCCUGGUCGGACAUCAGGAGGUUAGUGCAAUGGCAUAAGCCAGCUUGACUGCGAGCGUGACGGCGCGAGCAGGUGCGAAAGCAGGUCAUAGUGAUCCGGUGGUUCUGAAUGGAAGGGCCAUCGCUCAACGGAUAAAAGGUACUCCGGGGAUAACAGGCUGAUACCGCCCAAGAGUUCAUAUCGACGGCGGUGUUUGGCACCUCGAUGUCGGCUCAUCACAUCCUGGGGCUGAAGUAGGUCCCAAGGGUAUGGCUGUUCGCCAUUUAAAGUGGUACGCGAGCUGGGUUUAGAACGUCGUGAGACAGUUCGGUCCCUAUCUGCCGUGGGCGCUGGAGAACUGAGGGGGGCUGCUCCUAGUACGAGAGGACCGGAGUGGACGCAUCACUGGUGUUCGGGUUGUCAUGCCAAUGGCACUGCCCGGUAGCUAAAUGCGGAAGAGAUAAGUGCUGAAAGCAUCUAAGCACGAAACUUGCCCCGAGAUGAGUUCUCCCUGACCCUUUAAGGGUCCUGAAGGAACGUUGAAGACGACGACGUUGAUAGGCCGGGUGUGUAAGCGCAGCGAUGCGUUGAGCUAACCGGUACUAAUGAACCGUGAGG